This 493-nucleotide ribosomal RNA is filed under the name uncultured bacterium. RNAcentral's name for it is "partial 16S ribosomal RNA". It matches the Rfam family "Bacterial small subunit ribosomal RNA", at positions 29 to 523 of the family's 1533-position model. The record is from RNAcentral.
AUUGAACGCUGGCGGCAUGCUUUACACAUGCAAGUCGAUCGGUAACAGGUUAAGCUGACGAGUGGCGAACGGGUGAGUAAUGCAUCGGAACGUGCCCGAUCGUGGGGGAUAACGCAGCGAAAGCUGCGCUAAUACCGCAUACGAUCUGAGGAUGAAAGCGGGGGACCGUAAGGCCUCGCGCGAUCGGAGCGGCCGAUGUCAGAUGAGGUAGUUGGUGGGGUAAAGGCCCACCAAGCCGACGAACUGUAGCUGGUCUGAGAGGACGACCAGCCACACUGGGACGGAGUCACGGCCCAGACUCCUACGGGAGGCAGCAGUGGGGAAUUUUGGACAAUGGGCGAAAGCCUGAUCCAGCAAUGCCGCGUGCAGGAAGAAGGCCUUCGGGUUGUAAACUGCUUUUGUACGGAGCGAAAAGGUCCUUUCUAAUACAAGGGGCUCAUGACGGUACCGUAAGAAUAAGCACCGGCUAACUACGUGCCAGCCGCCGCCGUAA